UUGCUUCAGUACCACAUAUGUUAAAUUAAAAUGACACAGACAAGAUCAACAUGGCCCCUGUGCAAGGAUGACUUUCAAUUUCAUGAAGUGUUCCAUAUUUUU
This is a small nuclear RNA of Phyllostomus discolor (pale spear-nosed bat), 102 nucleotides long. The record is from RefSeq and is a predicted model, not a curated record. NCBI's taxonomy places the organism in Eukaryota, Metazoa, Chordata, Mammalia, Chiroptera, Phyllostomidae.